This 290-nucleotide long non-coding RNA is filed under the name Rattus norvegicus (Norway rat). Its description in RNAcentral is "long non-coding RNA NONRATT031804". The record is from RNAcentral. Lineage: Eukaryota; Metazoa; Chordata; Mammalia; Rodentia; Muridae.
AUGGCUGUCGGCAGAGUGUGACUGCCAGGGGUUGAAGUGCAAAGCUUCCAGUGAAAUUUUCCAACGGAAAUCCACGCUUCGUGAACUCCAUGGAACCCUUCUGCCAUGCAUCACGCACACCAUUCAAAACAAUCACUGCCACCAACCUGUGGGCUGAGGGCGCUGCUGGUGCCAGAGAAGAUGGGGAUCUCACCGUGAUCGCUGAUGCCUGGUAAGUAUGAUCUCAACUGAAUUGUAGGGGAGCCCCCGUGUCUCAUCAGACUCCUCGGAUGAGGAACCUGGCACCUAGG